RNAcentral lists this ribosomal RNA (253 nucleotides) under uncultured bacterium. Its description in RNAcentral is "partial 16S ribosomal RNA". It matches the Rfam family "Bacterial small subunit ribosomal RNA", at positions 524 to 776 of the family's 1533-position model. The record is from RNAcentral.
UACAGAGGGGGCAAGCGUUAUUCGGAAUUAUUGGGCGUAAAGGGCGCGUAGGCGGCCUGGCAAGUGGAAGGUGAAAUCCCUCGGCUUAACCGAGGAACUGCCCUCCAAACUGCUUGGCUUGAGUCCGGGAGAGGUGAGUGGAAUUCCCAGUGUAGCGGUGAAAUGCGUAGAUAUUGGGAGGAACACCAGUGGCGAAGGCGGCUCACUGGACCGGAACUGACGCUGAGGCGCGAAAGCGUGAGGAGCAAACGGG